Non-coding RNA from Chrysemys picta bellii (western painted turtle), 2733 nucleotides. The record is from RefSeq and is a predicted model, not a curated record. NCBI's taxonomy places the organism in Eukaryota, Metazoa, Chordata, Testudines, Emydidae.
GAAUUGCAAGCAAUGCAUGACCCGUGGCUCACAGAUCGGCCCCAAACAAGACGCAAUAUCCAGGUGUCUGGUGGAAAAGCAACUUCACAGGACUGGUCUAACCAAGAGAUUAUUGUAAUCCAUCAACUUUGGCAGCAUCAGCCAGAUGAAAUUGGUCAAGGAAUAAAUCAAGUAGAAGUAAAAGACCUUUUAAUCCACAAUCACACACAUCCGCACUGCCUGGAGAAGGAAAGGCUCUUUGCGAUACCACCUGAGUGCGUGAAACAGAAGAGCAGGCAUGCUGAACACCAAGAGCUAUUCCUCUGAAACCAGCCGCCAGGCACCAUAUGAAACACCAGCACUAUCUGACCUUCAGAAGCUGUUCUGGUUCAGAGGAGGGUCUGACAAUCAUUUGGACCAAGUCUGGCCAAACCUAUUCCUGGGAGACGUGUAAGGGGAUAUUGUAUAUUAUGUUGUUACUAGCACACUAGAGAGAGAUGGAGGGGUGUAAAGGUGGUUAACAGUGAGAUGUAAAGCUAUGCUCACAUCACAGGGUUCCAAAGCCAAACACCAUGACAGUCAGCCUCAAGUGGUUUGGAUGUCAAGAAAAGCUUGACAUGUACACGUAUAACUUACUCCUAGUCUGCCUGAGCUGUGCUUUCUACAUUCCAUGGAUCACAAUGGAUUUUAGCAAGAUAAACAUAUUUAUUAUUUUUAUCAUGGACAUUGACAACUGGGUCUUGGGGGGCUUUAUCUCCCCCAGAUAUUUAGGGUUUGCAUUUAUAAAGGAAACAGUUUAAAACACAAGCUCAAUUAUCUCACUGUAUUAGAAGUGGACUCAUUUAGUUAUGGUACAAAGCUACUCCAAGUGACAUUCAACAGCUCUUAUUUUAUUAUCUUUUAACUCUAGGUACUCCAAAUAAAAAAAAGGUGUCUGUUCCCCUCUGUAUAUAAUAAUGCCUAGAAGGCCCCAACUGAGAUCGCUAUCUCAUUGUGCUAAGCACUGUACAUAUACAUGCUUAGAGAGAGUCCCUGCCCUUAAGACCUUAUUCUCUAAAUAAGACGGAAAAUGGGUGAGAAAGGAAGUAUUAUUAUGCCCAUUUUACAGACAGGUAACUGAGGUACAAGAGGUUCAGCCUCAGGAGUCAGAAUGAAGAGAGGACAAAGAUCCAUAAUUAUAUGGUAGGGGGCCCCACAGAUGCAAACACAGAAUUUCUUUUACCAGCUUAUAACUAAAUAUCAAAACAUAUUGCACAAUUACUUUGUACUUGUGGCAAAAGACACAUUGCUGAGCUACUUUGCCUCUCUCUAUCAAUCACCAGACAGACACUUCUGUCUAUUUGUCUAAAUUGCUUUUCAUCCGAGGAUCUUAAAGUGCUUUAAAAACAUCAAACAAACAUCACCACUUCCUUGUGCAAUAACUUUAUCCCCAUUUUACAGAUGGGAAAUCAGGGAGGCCUGCAGAGAGGAAAUGACUUGUUCAAGGUCACACAGUGAGUCAGUGUCAGAAACAGGAAUGGAACCCAAGAAAGAAUGGCUAUUUUCAAUAACUGCAGGGCUUUGAGAUGUUUUGUUCACAUGGAGCCCACUUCAUGGGGCACGUGCGUACCAGAAGUGGGAUCGGUGUGGACAGUCAAAGGAGAAUCCUAACUACUAUCCUUUGCUCUAACCACUGAACAACAUUCCCAGUGAUUAACUACAAGGAGGGAGUUUCCUGAACAACUGGUAUCUCACAGGCUGGUCUGUACUCAUGUAGCCCCUUCUCUGAAGUGUGGCUCAAACCUUCUCCCUUCUCUCUCCAUGCUGCUUGCCAUCAUCAAUAUUAGGAACUGCUUCUUCCUUCUCCUUGCACAGGUUGGGUCCUGGGUAUUUUCUGGCGUGUGAUGCCUCUACCCGAGGUGACUCCUCACUGCCCCAUGCACAGGGGUGCUUCCCUUUGAGAAAAAUCAAUACAACUAGUUGGCAAGGAGUGUGAAGCCCAGUACAUGAGGGACAAUGAAGUACAUAAACAGAAACCCCAGAAAAGGAAGAACACACCUAAAAGAGCAACAUAACAAAGGGGGGCUUUACAGGAACAGGAAAAUAGAAUUGAGGGAAGGAAAGGGUUAAGGUUAACUAAUAAGUACUAAACAUUAAUAAACAAACAAAUCUCUCACCUCCCAACACUCACAAUUUAUCCCAACCUCCAGCUCCCAUCCUGGCAUCUUCCCAGGCACAUGGCAUCCUGAGGUUGAAUCCUGAGAAGGAGUGUUGCAGCACUGUGAUAUGGGCAGGUUUAGAUAGAAGUCAGCUUACUUUAAUUCUUCAUGCCUGGCUGGGCCAGGAUCUUCUCUGGACUCAUACCAGGCUUGCUGUUUCCAUGAUCUAGAAUCCUGGGGGGAGGGGGGGGGGAUCGUCUUGGCUGGCUCUCAGUAGCUGGCACCAGGUCGUAUCUCUCUCUGGCUGGGUGCUGGAACGGCCCAAUCCAUGCAGCUAGAUCUCACAGCAAAGCAAACACUUGCUUUGGGGGCAGUGGGCGCUGUGCUGUUUCUUUCCCACUUUCCAAACUCAAAACUGAAAUUAAACCUAUCUGUGUGGAGUCAGGCUGUCCCCGGCUGGGGGCGUGCAGCCCUGGCUUGUCACUGGUCCACUGGACUGCCUCCGUAUUAGCCUCACCAGUAAUUUCUAGUUCUUUCUGUCCCCACCCCUGACUCCAUGCGCGCUGGGAAAUGGUGUCACAAGGCUCUGGUAGUUGCUUUAGUUGUAGUCCUUUUG